GCAGCGAUGUCCGAGUGGAUAAGGAGGUUGAAUAGAAAUCAAUUGGGCUCUGCCCGCGUAGGUUAGAAUACUUCUCGCCGCG
Non-coding RNA from Angiostrongylus costaricensis, 82 nucleotides. The record is from Rfam. Lineage: Eukaryota; Metazoa; Nematoda; Chromadorea; Rhabditida; Metastrongylidae.